RNAcentral lists this long non-coding RNA (2402 nucleotides) under Gossypium barbadense (sea-island cotton). RNAcentral describes it as "long non-coding RNA (GBAR_LNC002827)". Lineage: Eukaryota; Viridiplantae; Streptophyta; Magnoliopsida; Malvales; Malvaceae. The record is from RNAcentral.
AUCACUUAAUCUUGCAUUAGUUAUUAGCUCAUCAAUGAAUCUCAAUUAAAUCUCUAGGCAUACAUGUUGUAAGCCACAUCACAAGAGAUAAUAACAUACAUGCAUAAGAAUAAUCAUAUGGGCCCAUAACGUCAUUAGCCGACAUAGGCCGAUUUACAUGACUAACACUACCUUAAUAACAAGCCAAUACCUUUGGCUAAAUCAUAAUAUUACAAUACUACCUUAAUAACAAGCCAAUGCCUUUGGCUAAAUCAUAAUACUACAUACUCACAUUAAAACCCUAUACAUGCCAUAGACUCGAAUCACUUGAGUUUACUUACGCCGAUAGCGUUAACUCGACAGGGCGAUAAUAUCUCUGACGGCCUCCAACCCGAGCUAAUCUGGCAACUCUAGAAAACAUGGGAAAGAAGAGGGGGUAAGCUUUCGCUUAGUAAGUUCAUAUGAAAACAAUAAGCAACUCAUUAACUUGUUUUAUCAAUGUUUACAACAUAUUCUCAAGUUCACUACAAGCUAUCUUCCUGAGCAACAGUCACUAAAUUAUUUAUCUCUAGAGCUACGAAACUCCGAAUUAAGUUCUGUAAAUUUUUCCUGAAACUAGACUCAUUUAUCUUUCUUCCAUAAAAUUUCCAGAAUUUUUGGCUUAGCCAAUUAGUACAGUUUAUUCCUCAAGUUUUCUCCUAAUUCACUAUCUGACAGUUUCAACCCUUCUACACUAAAGUUCAAUUAUCUCAUAGUACAAGGCUAGAAUAAUGUUAUCGUCUAUUUCUAUUGAAACUAGACUCAUAUGUAUACUUACUAAUGUUUUUAUAGAAUUUUUUGUUGGGCCAUUUAGUAUAGUUUAUUAGUUAAAGUCUCCCCUAUUUCAGGGUAUGACUACUCUGACCCCUGUGUACUACAAACCGAAUUUCUCCCUGUACAGAAUUCCAACAACCAUGAAAUUUGUUUCCCUUAAAAAUAGACUCAAUAAGGAAUCCAUGAAUGUAAGGUAUGACUCUUAAUAAUUUUUGUAAAAUUUAUGGUGAAUUUAUAAAGUCAGAAUAGGGGAUCUCGAAUUCUUUCAGACCCUGUUUCACAAGAAUUCAAAUAUCACACAAUAUAGAAUUCUUUUUCUUCCUAUGUUUCUUUCAUGUGAAAAUAGACUCAUUAAGCUUUAAUUCCAUAUUUUAUUCUGCCUCUAACUCAUUUUCCAUUAUUUUUAGUGUAUUUUCAAAGUUACACUACUGCAGUAACUCAAAUCUGUCAAGGCUAAGUUACUCAUUCAUUAUCAUUGUUCACAAAAUUAAUACAACAUCAUUUCAUCCAUCAUGGUAAGAACACAUAUUAUGCAUCAUAGAUCAUCACAUAUCAAGGCAUUCUCAUAGGCUUAGUAUACAUACUUGCACAACUUGUAACAUAACUCAAGUGCAUACUCACCAAUGACUUACCUCAUUGGGACUAUCAUCAACUCUUUCCUUGGAUUACCCGUUGAACACUUGGAAUACUAAUUGGAUACUCGGAAAAGCCUUUGCACAUAAGUGCCUUAAUUGUAGCUAAAGCUACCUCAUAUCUCAUAACAUUUCAAUGCUCACUCUCGAGCUAGUCAUCUAGACUCAUAAUUCCUAGCGACAUGUCACUCGUAUCCUAUUCUAUUCCUAAGCUUCAAACGGGAUUUUUCCUCGUCUAUUAAGGCUUUGUCUUAUCAUAUUUCUAUUAAUCACAUACACAUUAAUAUUUGUACAAUUCAUGUAAUGAUAACAUUUAAAUACAUGUAUAGCAUGGUAUUGUUUACAUACAAACUUACCUCGAUACCACAAAGGUGAAAAGACAUACUCGUCCAUAAAUCGAUUUCUUUCUCUUCUAGAUCCAAAUCUCAAUUUUCAUCAUCUAUAACAUCACAUUUAACUUAUUAAAACAAUGUACUGAUCAAAUUAGUCCAUUGACACACUUGGGCAAUUUUUACAAUUUUGUCUCUAUAUUUUGCCAAAAUUACCAAAUUACCCCUAGGCUCGUAAAAUAAUUUUUAUCACAUUCCUUUACUCCUUAAGUCUAGAUGAACCAUUUUCAUAACUGUAGCAACUCAUAAUUUCAACUAUUUCACACACUUACAACUCAUUUUACAACUUAGCAAUCUAGCCCUUUUUAAGGUGUUUUCAUACAAUUUCUUUCACAAAAGUUAUUUAUUAGACAACUAGGACUCAUAAUCUUCCAAAAAAACACAGCAAACAACACAUUUGCUCUGAUGGCAAAACCCUAGACUCUUCAUCAUUUUGCAAAAUAGACUCCUAAUAUGAAAGCUCAUGCUUUAGGGGUUCCAAAAAUGUAAAAAUCAUCAAGAAAAAAAGCAUUAAAAUCACUUACUAUAAAGGGGGUUUCUUUGCUGAAAGUUUUCAGCUUCUAAACCCUUUUUUGCUGCCAUUUUUUCG